GGAUGUAGCUUAGUGGUGGAGUACCUGCCUUGCAAGCAUGAGGUCCUGGGUUUGAUUGCCAGUGCUGUGCA
Molecule: transfer RNA, 71 nt
Filed under: Marmota monax (woodchuck)
Lineage: Eukaryota; Metazoa; Chordata; Mammalia; Rodentia; Sciuridae
Description: tRNA.Ala
Rfam family: tRNA (bases 6-62)
About the family: Transfer RNA (tRNA) molecules are approximately 80 nucleotides in length. Their secondary structure includes four short double-helical elements and three loops (D, anti-codon, and T loops). Further hydrogen bonds mediate the characteristic L-shaped molecular structure. tRNAs have two regions of fundamental functional importance: the anti-codon, which is responsible for specific mRNA codon recognition, and the 3' end, to which the tRNAs corresponding amino acid is attached (by aminoacyl-tRNA synthetases). tRNAs cope with the degeneracy of the genetic code in two manners: having more than one tRNA (with a specific anti-codon) for a particular amino acid; and 'wobble' base-pairing, i.e. permitting non-standard base-pairing at the 3rd anti-codon position.
Source: RNAcentral